RNAcentral lists this transfer RNA (79 nucleotides) under Ophiocordyceps sinensis. It matches the Rfam family "tRNA". From Rfam's summary of the family: Transfer RNA (tRNA) molecules are approximately 80 nucleotides in length. Their secondary structure includes four short double-helical elements and three loops (D, anti-codon, and T loops). Lineage: Eukaryota; Fungi; Ascomycota; Sordariomycetes; Hypocreales; Ophiocordycipitaceae. RNAcentral also lists the same sequence under 1 other name. The record is from Rfam by way of RNAcentral.
AGCAACAUAGCUCAGGGGCAGAGCGACGGGCUCAUAACAUGACACCCGUAGGUCCCUGGAUCGAAACCAGGUGUUGCUA